AGUGAACGUUGGCGGCGUGGAUUAGGCAUGCAAGUCGAGCGAGAACCGUAGCAAUACGGGGACAGCGGCGAAAGGGACAGUAAUGUGUAGGUACCUACACCGAGGUCUGGGAUAGCUGCGGGAAACUGCAGGUAAUACAGGAUAAUGUCUUCGGAACAAAGGUGUGAGUCCGCCUUGGGGGGGGCCUGCAUCCUAUUAGCUUGUUGGCGGGGUAACGGCCCACCAAGGCGACGAUGGGUAGCGGGUGUGAGAGCACGACCCGCGUCAUUGGGACUGAGACACUGCCCAGGCACCUACGGGUGGCUGCAGUCGAGGAUCUUCGGCAAUGGGCGCAAGCCUGACCGAGCGACGCCGCGUGCGGGAUGAAGGCCUUCGGGUUGUAAACCGCUGUCGUAGAGGAGGAAAUGCAGGGGGGUUCUCCCUUCUGUUUGACCUAUUCUAGGAGGAAGGACGGGCUAAGUUCGUGCCAGCCGCCGCCGUAA
This 482-nucleotide ribosomal RNA is filed under the name uncultured bacterium. RNAcentral describes it as "partial 16S ribosomal RNA". It matches the Rfam family "Bacterial small subunit ribosomal RNA", at positions 28 to 523 of the family's 1533-position model. The record is from RNAcentral.